UUACUCUGGUUUCUCUUCAUAACGCACAAGUCUUUCGCCUUUUACUAAAGACUUCCGUGGAGAGUGACUCCAACGAGUUUUUAGCCCUAUUUUGGCAGGCUUUGCUCUCUGAGAGCCG
This 118-nucleotide small nuclear RNA is filed under the name Amphiprion ocellaris (clown anemonefish). RNAcentral's name for it is "U5 spliceosomal RNA". It matches the Rfam family "U5 spliceosomal RNA". From Rfam's summary of the family: U5 RNA is a component of both types of known spliceosome. The precise function of this molecule is unknown, though it is known that the 5' loop is required for splice site selection and p220 binding, and that both the 3' stem-loop and the Sm site are important for Sm protein binding and cap methylation. The record is from Rfam by way of RNAcentral. Lineage: Eukaryota; Metazoa; Chordata; Actinopteri; Pomacentridae.